UCAUCCAAUUCCUCAUGGGACUUAAUGAUAUCUAUUCAGCUGUAAGGAGUAACAUUCUAAUGCUUACCCCUCUGCCUAGUGUCAAUCAAGCCUACUCUCUUCUCAUUCAAGAUGAGAAACAAAGGGAAAUUCAUGUUGCACAAUACCCUGUCGAAACUGCUUUUCUGGAAGGAAAUCAGCAAACCCAUUUUCAAAAGUAUGCUAAUGGGGAAGGAAAAUUCAAAGCAAAUCUUGAAGGAAAGAAGAGUAACCUGAUGUGCAACUAUUGCAAGAAACCUGGUCAUUCCGUUGAUAAAUGCUAUAGAAUCAUUGGUUUUCCGUCCACUUUCAAGUUCACCAAAUCCAGAAAAUAUCAUGGAGGAACUCACAGCAAUGCAACAAUCAUGCAUGAAGAAAACACAGCUUUGUCAGCAAACACAAUGGUAGAAAAUACAGCAGGUAAAGUCAUAACUCAAGAACAGUUCAGUCAGCUUUAUCAACUUCUUCAACAAGUAAAGAUACAACAGGGUGAGCAGAGUUCUGAUGCAAAUGCUAGUGCCAACUGUGUUGGUAAAACCAUCAAUGCCCCUAAUCUAUAUUGUCUUGCAUGUUUUCCUUACAUGAAUUCUACCUCCUGGAUAAUAGAUUCAGGAGCUUCAGAACAUAUGACUUUUGAUCAUUCCGUUUUAUUUAAUAUAAAGCCUCUAACCAAAUCUCUAUACGUCAAUCUAUCGAAUUCAUAUAAGGUUAAGGUCAGUCAAGUUGGUAGUGCCCAUGUUCUGCCAGAUUUAAUCCUAAAUAAUGUGUUGUAUGUUCCAGAUUUCAAAUUUAAUCUAAUUUCAGUUCACAAACUCACUAAACAACUCAUGUGUACCUUGAUUUUCUCAUCUUUUGGUACAUUCUUGCAGGGCCCUUCACUGAAGAGGUCAGUGGUAGUUGGUGAAGUGAAGGAAGGUCUAUAUCUACUUAGUCCAAUUUCUCUAAGUUCCGGACUAGUUCAUGGAAAUCAAUCAUUUUUUAAGUCUCUUUUUUCUUGCAAUAACUUUAAGAAGCACAUUGUGUCUCAUUCAGUUUCUUGUUCAGCUAGAGUCAACUCUAAUGUAAACCUAUGGUACAAAAGAUUGGGGCACAUGCCCAUAUCUAGCAUGCAAAAUCUAUCAAGUUUUCAUUUUCCUUCUCUUGCCACAUUUAAUCAUCCUUGUGAUGUAUGUUCUCAAGCUAGGCAGGCAAAGUUGCCUUUUCAUUCAAGUCAUAUAAACACAAAUUUCAUUUUUCAACUAAUUCAUAUUGAUACUUGGGGACCUUACAAGCUCCCAACACAUGACGGUUAUAGAUAUUUUUUGACUAUAGUGGAUGACUAUAGUAGAGCAACUUGGACCUAUCUAUUACGAACAAAAAGUAAGGCUUUUUCAGUUUUAAAAUCUUUUCUAAUAAUGGUAGAAAGACAGUUUUCCACAAAAAUUAAGAUCAUUCGUUCCGAUAAUGCUUUGGAAUUAGGAUCGGGAUCUAUUCUUUCAAAAAAAAAAAUCCUCUAAUGGAAUUCUUCAUCAAACCUCUUAUGUUGCCACACCACAACAAAAUGGAAUGGUUGAGCAAAAACACAAACAUCUUUUAGAGACAUGCAGGGCUCUAUUAUUUCAAUCUAAUCUCCCCACCAUGUAUUGGGGUGAUUGUUUGUUAACUGCUACUUUUCUAAUAAAUCAAUUUCCCUCUAGAGUUCUUAAUUUCAAAACACCUUUCGAAAUUCUUUUUGGAAAAGUUCCAUCUUAUGAUUUUCUCAAAUGUUUUGGUUGUCUAUGUUAUGCAUCUACUUUACCUCAUCAUAGAGCAAAACUUGAAUCUAGAUCUGUCAAGUGUGUUUUUAUAGGUUAUCCUUUUGGAAAGAAAGGCUACAAAUUGUUGGAUCUUCAAUCUAAAGCCAUUUUUAUUUCACGAGAUGUUAUUUUUUAUGAGGACAUAUUUUCAUUCUUGUCUCCUUCAUCUAAACAACCAAUUUUUCCUAAAGAAGUUUCUACUAUUCAAGACCCGAAUCACUCUUUCUCUCCGUCUGAUAUCCAUUUAUCCACAAAGUCAGAUUCUAACUCCCCUAUACAACCUUUCAUAACUUCACCUCACAACGCUCCUACCUCAUCUCCUAUCUCCAAGGGUAUUUCCUCUCCAUCUUCCCUACCCCUUCCACCUGAACUAAGGCGCUCUACUAGGGAUCACAAUCCACCAUCAUAUCUGGCAGAUUAUGUGUGCAAUGUUGUGUACUUGAUUGAUCUAACCAAAUUUUGUCUUGCAGCACCAAUCUCACCUACUACUAUGAAUUUCACUGACCUCUCUCCUACAAACCAGUCUUUUUUUAACUCUAUCUCUCACAUCGUUGAACCUACAAGUUUCUCCCAGGCAGUUUUACAUCCCAGUUGGCAGGAAGCAAUGACACAAGAACUUCUAGCUUUGGAAACCAAUCAAACCUGGGACGUGGUUGAACUACCGAGAGGCAAGAAAUCUUUACCUUGUAAAUGGGUUUAUAAAAUUAAAUACAAAUCUGAUGGAAGCAUUGAAAGAUUUAAAGCUCGCCUAGUUAUCCGCGGGGACAUUCAAAGAGAAGGAAUAAACUACACUAAAACUUUUAGUUUAGUGAAGAAAAUGACAACUGUUAGAUGUAUUUUAGUAGUUGCAGUUAAACGACACUAUAAAAUGUUUCAAUUAGAUGUCAAUAACGUUUUUCUUCAUGGUGACCUACAGGAAGAAGUAUAUAUGAGAUUCUCCCCAGGAUUGCCUUCACCUUCUAAUAAUCAUAUUUGCAGGUUAAAAAGGUCCUUAUACGGACUUAAACAGGCUUCCCGGCAAUGGUACGCACGACUUACUGGUGCACUUAAUUUCAAAGGAUAUUCUCACUCUCUUAACGACUAUUCUCUAUUUUUCAAGAAGACAACUGCUGGAAUUUCUAGUGUUGUUGUUUAUGUCGAUGACAUACUUCUUACAGGAGAUGACCCUACAAAGCUUUCUAAUCUCAAAGAAUUCCUCAAUUUGGAAUUCAAAAUUAAAGACCUUGGAGAAGCUAAUUAUUUUCUUGGCAUGGAACUACUAAGGGAACAAAAUGGAAUAAUUAUCAGUCAAAGAAAGUUCACCUUGGAGCUUCUUUCUGAAUUUGGUAUUCUUAAUUCACGGCUAGUCUCAUCUCCGCUAGACCCCAGUAGCAAGCUUCGAGCCGAUGUUGGCGAACAUCUUCAAGACCCAACCAUCUACAGACGACUGAUCGAAAAACUAAAUUUUCUAACUCAUACUCGCCCCGACCUCUCUUUCGCAGUUCAACAUCUAAGCCAGUAUAUGCAAAGUCCCCGUACACCUCAUUUCAAUGCUGGUUUACACUAUCUUCGUUAUAUGUUGGCUUCACCAUUACUUGGGCUUUUCAUGAAUUCAGACUUACUUUACAAUUAAUCGCUUUUUGUGAUUCUGAUUGGGGAACUUUUCCGGAAUCUCGUUGCUCAACCAGUGGUUUCUACAUCAACCUCGGAGGAUCCCCUAUUUCAUGGAAAUCAAAGAAACAAUCUUCAAUAUCCCUUUCCUCUACUGAAGCCGAAUAUCGGUCUAUGAAGAAGGUUGUUUCAGAACUUACAUGGCUUGUACGCCUCCUCACAGAUCUUUCAUUUUCCCCCUCGUUGUCAGUCUCCCUUCACUAAGAUAGCCAGGCGGCUAUUCACAUUGCAAAAAAUCUCGUUUUCCACGAACGCACAAAGCACGUGGAAAUUGACUAUCAUUUUGUCUACCAACAGUACCUCGCCGAACUCAUUUCUUUGUCUUUCGUUCCGACCAAAUCGCAGCUAGCCGACAUCCUCACAAAACCCUUUUCCGGACCUCUACACAGGGCCAUCGUCUCCAAGUUGGGUCUGUUUUCUCAAACCUCAAAAUUAAGGGAGGGUGUUGGACUGGAAAUCAACACCCUGGCCUCUAAAUCAAGAGUUGGUCAACAUAGAGCAACUGCAAUCGAAGAAGAAGAUGAAGAAGAGAUGAAAGUAGAAGUGUCUCAAAUGACCUAGAGAAU
This 4009-nucleotide long non-coding RNA is filed under the name Nicotiana tabacum (common tobacco). RNAcentral describes it as "long non-coding RNA (NTAB_LNC002466)". Lineage: Eukaryota; Viridiplantae; Streptophyta; Magnoliopsida; Solanales; Solanaceae. The record is from RNAcentral.